UCGAGAGAGGGGCCUCGUGCUCCCGGGGGCUUCGGCCCCCAACUCUUCACCCGAUGUCUAUCUACCUUUGUUGCUUUGGCGGGCCCCCGAGGGUACCCUUCGCACCCGCGCCGGAACCGUUUGGCCCGGCGUGUGUGAGUGCCCGUCAGAGUCCCAGUAUAAACCCCGUGAGAAAUCAGUGAUGUCCGAGCUCUGAGGAAUAGUACAA
RNAcentral lists this unclassified non-coding RNA (208 nucleotides) under uncultured fungus. RNAcentral describes it as "sequence contains ITS1, 5.8S rRNA gene". The record is from RNAcentral. Lineage: Eukaryota; Fungi.